This 476-nucleotide ribosomal RNA is filed under the name uncultured bacterium. Its description in RNAcentral is "bacterial SSU rRNA". It matches the Rfam family "Bacterial small subunit ribosomal RNA", at positions 9 to 468 of the family's 1533-position model. The record is from RNAcentral.
GAGUUUGUCCUGGCUCAGGAUGAACGCUGGCGGCGUGCCUAAUACAUGCAAGUCGAGCGAACAGAUAAGGAGCUUGCUCCUUUGAAGUUAGCGGCGGACGGGUGAGUAACACGUGGGUAACCUACCUAUAAGACUGGGAUAACUUCGGGAAACCGGAGCUAAUACCGGAUAACAUUUAGAACCGCAUGGUUCUAAAGUGAAAGAUGGUUUUGCUAUCACUUAUAGAUGGACCCGCGCCGUAUUAGCUAGUUGGUAAGGUAACGGCUUACCAAGGCGACGAUACGUAGCCGACCUGAGAGGGUGAUCGGCCACACUGGAACUGAGACACGGUCCAGACUCCUACGGGAGGCAGCAGUAGGGAAUCUUCCGCAAUGGGCGAAAGCCUGACGGAGCAACGCCGCGUGAGUGAUGAAGGGUUUCGGCUCGUAAAACUCUGUUAUUAGGGAAGAACAAAUGUGUAAGUAACUGUGCACAUC